Long non-coding RNA from Oreochromis niloticus (Nile tilapia), 2169 nucleotides. RefSeq lists it as uncharacterized. The transcript has 2 exons. The record is from RefSeq and is a predicted model, not a curated record. Lineage: Eukaryota; Metazoa; Chordata; Actinopteri; Cichliformes; Cichlidae.
GAAACAGGACAGAGCAGGAUGCUGACAUGAUGGGAUAUUUCUUCAUCAAGCAAACAAGUUACAGUGACACUUUGUUAUAAAGUAAAUUUAUGUCAUAGUCUUUGAUUUUGUUUGUUUGCUUUCUGCCUUUGCCUUUUCCCCGUCUUACAUAAUUACCAUUCUACUUAUCUAAGACAAUUUUAUGUUCUUUUGGGGGGAAUUAAUCCUAAUUUCUACCUGCUACACCAAAGUAAUUUCUCAGCUUUGGGAUAUACAUCAACCUGUGCUGUAUUACUGAUCUCCCCAUUCUCCCCUGUCUGUCUUGUUCCCUCAGCAGCUCUUCUACUUUGAUAGUCACAUUUCAGUGGUUUUUAUUCAGUUUUUCUUUGGUUUAGUUUUUAUCAUCCUAAGGGCUUUUGCCUGUGUUUCAUCUUGGGGCCUGUUCCAGAAAGCAGGCUUAGUCAAAGAGAGGGUUAUUUAAACUCUGGGUCAGUUACCAUGGCAACAGACUCUGUGAACCUAACCCUCUUGCUGGUAGAAUUUGUACAACAAACCUCCCCUCCUGCUAACUUCGCGUAUACCAAACAUAUACCAGAACAAAUUAAUCUGCAGGAGUUUACAUUCUUAAGGAAAGAAGAAUACUGGUCUUCACUUAUCUACAAUAAGAAUUUCUUGCUGUGGCAAAGCCGGCCAGCUGCUCUCGCAUCAAACCAGAAAUAGUCUGCAGGGUACUGAGUUAUUCCUCUUUGAAGAUGUUCCCAAAAUACUGUGACAUGUGACAAAUCCACCCAGGCCUCUGAGGUGCACGAGCUUGGGGCUCCAAGAACGCAGCAGCUCACACUUCCUGCAUGAUUGUGCAUAUUUAAGAAAGGAAACUGAUGCAGAAAAGCUUGGAAAUCAGUUCGUCCCUUUCUCUUUUACAUGUUUCAUUACAAAGUAUGCUCUGUCACAACUUCAGCAGUCAUCUCCUGAAUGAUGACUGCAGAUUCCUUCAUGACAAAGUAUUUUUUUCGUGAAAUUAUUAAAAUAAACUGAACUCAUAUCACUUGUCCUUUGCCACAAGAAUUUAAGGCAAUGCUUCUAAGAAGCACAAUAGUGAGUUUUCUGGAUGAGUUCCAGCGUACAGGACAGGUCCCGAAGGCACAGAGGAAUGUAAUGAUAAAACAGCCGUUAAUGAAAAAUGUGGGAAAGGCAGCACUUAACCCUUUAAGGUCAAGGAGUCUAUUUUUAUUCAAAUGAACGCCGCAGAGUCUGCAUUUUCAGUCUCUGGCUAAAGGUAUAAAAUAAUCAGGCAAAGAGAUAAAAAAAACCUGCUGCAACAGUAACUGAGUUUAAGUUUAACAAUUUGGGAAGCUAUUGACUAGUAUGCUUAUUUAGCGUCUGGAAGUGACGACUUGUUUGUUGUGGCUUCUUGACUAAGACUUCUUGUUCCAGUCGCCAGUCACAGUUUAUAAAUGACGACCAUUUUUAGGGCAUUUGAGUAAAGGCCCAGUGAGCUUAUACCAUGGCAACGUGUCAAUCUACAAUUCAUUUCACACAUUACAAUAACCUGUGAAGUGUGAUGGACUGUGAGGUGGAGCCACAUGACUGAUGUUCUGUUUUAAACUAACUAAAAAUUUAAAUUGUCAGAUGUCUUUUAGAUUAGAUUUCACUCAAUGCAACCCCUCAGCUGAAACUACACAAAUAUUUAGUGAGAUUCCAAUAUAUCAGCAAAUACUUACAAAGUAAGUACAUAAACAGAUUUUCCUAAUAUUGAUUAUGUGGUUGGUUUGGUUAUGUUUCCAACAGUGAAGUCGCAGAGAGCUCUCUGGUAGACAAACAAUGCAAUGCCAAUACUCAUAACAUGGUUUUCCCCUGUCUUUAUUACUUUGUUAUUUAUCAGCUGCUAUAGAAGCCGAUACUGAGUGAAUAUGUCUGGCGUAUCAUUCGUUCUAUUGGUGUAAAGUCUGCAGAGUUCAGUUCAGCAUCUUCUACUACAAAGCUGUGCUGUUGUAAUAUCUGCAGUAUGCAGUGUUUUGUCUUUCUAAAAUAAGUAAGGCCUUCUCUGAAAAAGAUGUAAUCUGGGUGGGUACACGUGUUGCUCUGAAUCCUGUAGAUACAGCAUUUGUGGUGCGUUUCCAGAUCUGCAAGCUUCCAAUUCAAUAUUCCCUAAUGCACCCCUAUAAUACCAGAGGCAGGCUUUUAAAACAA